This is a small nuclear RNA of Mustela lutreola (European mink), 143 nucleotides long. RefSeq annotates it as U4 spliceosomal RNA. Lineage: Eukaryota; Metazoa; Chordata; Mammalia; Carnivora; Mustelidae. The transcript has a single exon. The record is from RefSeq and is a predicted model, not a curated record.
AGCUUUGCGCAGUGGCAGUAUCGUAGCCAAUGAGGUUUAUCCGAGGCGCGAUUAUUGCUAAUUGAAAACAUUUCAUUUUCUUGCAUUUAAUCAAAUUGGUAUCAUUAGUCAAUAAAUAUUUAAUGCAUACUUACAGUGUUAUG